RNAcentral lists this ribosomal RNA (1471 nucleotides) under Aphia minuta (transparent goby). RNAcentral's name for it is "partial 16S ribosomal RNA". It matches the Rfam family "Bacterial large subunit ribosomal RNA", at positions 371 to 2574 of the family's 2925-position model. The record is from RNAcentral. Lineage: Eukaryota; Metazoa; Chordata; Actinopteri; Gobiiformes; Gobiidae.
UCCCCAAUAGCUAGCCCAACUCUAAAAUUCAACAACCCCCAUUAAUACCCCCUCACUUACAAGCCCAUUAGAAACAAACCAUUUUACCCCCCAAGUAUGUGUGACAAAAAAGGAACUAUGGCGCAAUAGAAAAAGUACCGCAAGGGAAAGCUGAAAGAGAAGUGAAACAACCCAGUAAAGGAAAAAGAAGCAGAGAUUAAAUCUCGUACCUUUUGCAUCAUGAAUUAGUCAGAACAUUCAGGCAAAGAGAGCUUUAUGUCUGAAACCCCGAAACUAAGCGAGCUACUCCGAGACAACCUAAAUAGGGUAAACCCGUCUCUGUGGCAAAAGAGUGGGAAGAGCUCUGAGUAGAGGUGACAGACCUACCGAGCUUAGUUAUAGCUGGUUGCCUAAGAAUUGAAUAGAAGUUCGACCUUUUCCCUUCUUUCAUCAAUCAAGGAGCCCCUUUUAAAGAACCAAAGAACGGGCAAAAGAGCUAUUCAAGGGAGGGACAGCUCUCUUGAAUAAAGACACAACUUUAAUAGAAGGUUAAAGAUCAAAUGAUAUAAGGACAAGUACCCAAGUGGGCCUAAAAGCAGCCACCCUAAAAGAAAGCGUUAAAGCUCAAGUACACGACCCCUAUAAUUAGGACAAAAAAAUCUUAUUCCCCUUUAUAUAUUAGGCCCUUCCCUGCGUACAGGGAAGAGAAACUGCUAACAUGAGUAAUAAGAGAGCCUAGCCUCUCUCGAAAACCCCCGUGUAAGUCAGAACGAACUAGCACUGAAAACUAACGCCCCCAAUCACAGAGGGAACUGUAGGCAUACUAAAUAAAGCUAGAAAACCCCACAAGAGCAAGCGUUAACCCCACACAGGAGUGUUUUACGAAAGACAUAAGGAAAAAGAAGGAACUCGGCAAACACUGGCCUCGCCUGUUUACCAAAAACAUCGCCUCUUGCUUAUUAUAUAUAAGAGGUCCCGCCUGCCCUGUGACGAAAGUUUAACGGCCGCGGUAUUUUGACCGUGCGAAGGUAGCGUAAUCACUUGUCUUUUAAAUAAGGACCAGUAUGAAUGGCAUAACGAGGGCUAAGCUGUCUCCUUUUUCUAGUCAAUGAAAUUGAUCUGCCCGUGCAGAAGCGGGCAUAAUAACAUAAGACGAGAAGACCCUAUGGAGCUUAAGACACUAGGUUAGCCUACGUUAAAAAUCCUGGAAUAUUAGGAGUAAACCAAGUAACCUCUAUCCUCCUGUCUUUGGUUGGGGCGACCGCGGAGUAAAAAUAAACCCCCACGUGGAAAGGGUGACCCCCCUGAGCCUAGAGCUACAGCUCUGGAAAGCAGAACAUCUGACCAAUAAGAUCCGGCAAUGCCGAUCAACGGACCCAGUUACCCUAGGGAUAACAGCGCAAUCCCCUUUUAGAGCCCAUAUCGACAAGGGGGUUUACGACCUCGAUGUUGGAUCAGGACUUCCUAAUGGUGCAGCCGCUAUUAAGGGUUC